UACGUAGGGUGCGAGCGUUGAUCGGAAUUACUGGGCGUAAAGCGUGCGCAGGCGGUUUUGUAAGCCAGAUGUGAAAUCCCCGGGCUUAACCUGGGAAUGGCAUUUGGGACUGCAAGGCUCGAGUGCGGCAGAGGAGACUGGAAUUCCUGGUGUAGCAGUGAAAUGCGUAGAUAUCAGGAGGAACACCGAUGGCGAAGGCAGGUCUCUGGGCUGACACUGACGCUCAUGCACGAAAGCGUGGGGAGCAAACAGG
RNAcentral lists this ribosomal RNA (253 nucleotides) under uncultured bacterium. Its description in RNAcentral is "partial 16S ribosomal RNA". It matches the Rfam family "Bacterial small subunit ribosomal RNA", at positions 524 to 776 of the family's 1533-position model. The record is from RNAcentral.